RNAcentral lists this transfer RNA (85 nucleotides) under Felis catus (domestic cat). It matches the Rfam family "tRNA". From Rfam's summary of the family: Transfer RNA (tRNA) molecules are approximately 80 nucleotides in length. Their secondary structure includes four short double-helical elements and three loops (D, anti-codon, and T loops). The record is from Rfam by way of RNAcentral. RNAcentral also lists the same sequence under 2 other names. Lineage: Eukaryota; Metazoa; Chordata; Mammalia; Carnivora; Felidae.
GCCUGGGUGGCUCAGUCAUUUAAGCAUCUGACUUCAGCUCAGGUCAUGAUUUCAUGGUUCGUGGGUUCAAGUCCCACGCCAGGCU